Molecule: ribosomal RNA, 429 nt
Filed under: Pseudomonadota bacterium
Lineage: Bacteria; Pseudomonadati; Pseudomonadota
Description: Proteobacteria bacterium partial 16S ribosomal RNA
Rfam family: Bacterial small subunit ribosomal RNA
Source: RNAcentral
UGGGGAAUAUUGGACAAUGGGCGAAAGCCUGAUCCAGCCAUGCCGCGUGUGUGAAGAAGGUCUUCGGAUUGUAAAGCACUUUAAGCUGGGAGGAAGGGCAGUAAGCGAAUACCUUGCUGUUUUGACGUUACCGACAGAAUAAGCACCGGCUAACUCUGUGCCAGCAGCCGCGGUAAUACAGAGGGUGCAAGCGUUAAUCGGAAUUACUGGGCGUAAAGCGCGCGUAGGUGGUUCGUUAAGUUGAAUGUGAAAGCCCCGGGCUCAACCUGGGAACUGCAUCCAAAACUGGAGGGCUAGAGUAGGGCAGAGGGUGGUAGAAUUUCCUGUGUAGCAGUGAAAUGCGUAGAUAUAGGAAGGAACACCAGUGGCGAAGGCGACCACCUGGGCUCAUACUGACACUGAGGUGCGAAAGCGUGGGGAGCAAACAGG